RNAcentral lists this unclassified non-coding RNA (283 nucleotides) under plant metagenome. RNAcentral's name for it is "partial contains small subunit ribosomal RNA, internal transcribed spacer 1, and 5.8S ribosomal RNA". The stretch from base 1 to 52 matches the Rfam family "Eukaryotic small subunit ribosomal RNA", at positions 1778 to 1831 of the family's 1831-position model. The record is from RNAcentral.
GGAAGUAAAAGUGUAAAAGGUUUCCGUAGGUGAACCUGCGGAAGGAUCAUUAUUGUAUAACCGAGGUGCGAGGGCUGUCGCUGACCCGAAAGGUCGUGCACGCCCGAGUGCCCUCACACACAUCCAUCUCACCCCUAUGUGCACCACCGCGUGGGUCCCCCUUUGGCUUGUUCGGAGGGGGGCUUACGUUUUCACACAAACUUUGUAUGCAGUGUAGAAUGUAUUUUUUGUUUUUGCGAUCACGCAAUCAAUACAACUUUCAACAACGGAUCUCUUGGCUCUC